UUAAUUUUAUUUAAGGAGAAAAGAAAAAAAAAGCAGGGAAAGGGUACAAGUUAUACAGAUUUACAGAAAAAAAAAAUGAACAGUAGGAAAUCACUAGUUAAUGGAUUACAUAUUGUCAUCUUAGAAAUAAUUGUUCAAGUCACAAAAUUAAAGCUUGUAAAGUGGACAUUCCAUCAAUGAUACUGCAAACAGUUCUGUUCAUUGAUCCAGUAAAAUCCUGUGAUAUCAUUUUCUAUCUUAUACACUUAAAUAUACAUGCAGUUAUAUAGUUUGGAGCACUUUCUUUUCCUCUCUUUUGUACCAUGACUAUUACACAUUUUGGGUUUCAUUGCUCCCAUGGUUCUUAUUACUUUUUUGGAAGAGAGUAAAACCAAAUGUGACAUAACAGAACAGAAUCGGUCAAGUCAAAAGGGUGGAUAUAAUAGAUAAUGUAAAAACAUAAUACAAGGUGAUCAACAAUGGUUACCAUAAUGCCUCCCGCUAUCUCUAAUAGAAUUGCCUAUAUCAUUAGUUAUAAUACAAUUGAACAGAACAGUAAAGAAUAAAACCAACAAAACCAAAACAUUGGAAACAUUGUAGGUCUUCAAAAGUAGAUAAAAGUCAACAAGAAUGGGCGUCAUAAUGAAUCUCAUUAUCUUCACAGCUGAUGCCUAAACUUUCGAACCUGAUACUAUCCAGCAAAACAGAAUAGGGGAACAUCAGUUAAAAACCAGAUGGUGAGAGUAAUACAGGGCUUUAAAUCAAGGUAAUGAAAAGUCAAAGUGGGUUACUAUAAUAUAUCCUGCUAUUUUUUUCCUUUAAUUAAAAGGAUAAAGAUAAAAAAGUAAAUAGUGGAGUGGAGAUUGAGAUAAAAGAGGGCAUAACAACAAAACAGCGCAGAUCAAAACAUAACCAUUUAAGCAGAAUAGUGUUUCACCACCAGAUAAUCCUAACCUAAAAGUAGUUACCAUAUUGUCUCUUUGAAAUCCUUGAGUACAACUUCGUAUACUGUAGCAUUAAGUAUAUCAAAACAAUGUAAAACCAUUCAAGAGAAUGACAGCAUUACAGAAAAUGAGGCAGAGAAGAUUGGAUGAUAGGAACAGCUAUUUUGGAGAAAAUGACAUCUUAAUAGGUAAUACUGAUUUAGUAUCAUCUUGUUUUGAAGUCUCAUCUAGCUUUUGUCCUUCUGUCUCCAAUGGUCUAAAUAGGUUGUAUCUUACUGGAUUUUAUUAUGUACAAUAGUAUAAGCAAAAACCUUGUAAAGACAAGGAGAUUAUACAGAAACCAUUAUUCA
Cavia porcellus (domestic guinea pig) is the source of this 1273-nucleotide long non-coding RNA. RefSeq lists it as uncharacterized. NCBI's taxonomy places the organism in Eukaryota, Metazoa, Chordata, Mammalia, Rodentia, Caviidae. The record is from RefSeq and is a predicted model, not a curated record. The transcript is spliced from 2 exons.